GACGAACGCUGGCGGCGUGCUUAACACAUGCAAGUCGAACGGUGAAGCACCUUCCUUUUGGUGGGUGUGGAUGAGUGGCGAACGGGUGAGUAACACGUGAGUAACCUGCCCCCUUCUUCUGGAUAACCGCAUGAAAGUGUGGCUAAUACGGGAUAUUCUGGGUCUGUCGCAUGGCGGGCCUGGGAACGAUAUUGUUUCGGUGGGGGAUGGGCUCGCGGUCUAUCAGCUUGUUGGUGGGGUGAUGGCCUACCAAGGCGGUGACGGGUAGCCGGCCUGGGAGGGUGGACGGUCACACUGGGACUGAGACACGGCCGAGACUCCUACGGGAGGCAGAAGUGGGGAAUAUUGCACAAUGGGCGCAAGCCUGAUGCAGCGACGCCGCGUGAGGGAUGGAGGCCCUCGGGUUGUAAACCUCUUUCGCCAGUGAAGCAGGCCUGUCCCUUUUGUGGGUGGGUUGACGGUAGCUGGAUAAGAAGCGCCGGCUAACUACGUG
This 493-nucleotide ribosomal RNA is filed under the name uncultured bacterium. RNAcentral describes it as "partial 16S ribosomal RNA". It matches the Rfam family "Bacterial small subunit ribosomal RNA", at positions 28 to 507 of the family's 1533-position model. The record is from RNAcentral.